This is a long non-coding RNA of Eucalyptus grandis, 1635 nucleotides long. RefSeq lists it as uncharacterized. The transcript has 3 exons. The record is from RefSeq and is a predicted model, not a curated record. NCBI's taxonomy places the organism in Eukaryota, Viridiplantae, Streptophyta, Magnoliopsida, Myrtales, Myrtaceae.
AGACCAGCCGCCUCUCCCCCUUCGUGCGACGCCCUCCACUUCUACUUCACUUUCAUUUUCAUUUUCCUCAGCAUCUCUUCAUCUCUCUCUGUGUUCAUUUUCCCUCGCGCCAGCACUCACGCUCUCUGCCCCUCUCUUCCACUCACCCUCCCUCUCACGGCCACAUAAGCCCACAAACCGAAGCCUUUCGUUGACAGCAACUCUUCGGUUUCCUUGUGGCUUUGCUUCAGCAAGCCAGCAGCUGCUUCUCCCAGCUCUGCCACGUUCAGCCAUCAGCGGAGUCACCCGAAGCCCUCUCUCUCCCGCUCAGCCCACGUCCCACCGCACCCACCGAGCUGCCACGCUCGGUCAACCAUCUUCAAGGGAGACCGAGCAAUCCUCCACCGAAGCCAUCCCACGAAUCCUCUCCUCCUCUGCUUCAUUUUACUGCCGUGUGCCAUCAUCCCCCACACCCGUGAGCUUCAAGCAGCCCAUUGAAGACCCGGCGAAGCAGCUCGCCCUCUCUCCAGUUGGUUUCUCUCCUGCCAGCACAUCGGUCAACUCCAGUGCACUUCGCGCCACCGUCAUUGACCCAUUUGCUCGCAGCUCCUCCACCUAAACAGCUUCGGUCUUGCUGCGCCAGCCCACGCUCAAAGCCCAAGCUGCCGCACGUUUUCUUCAGCCCACUCGUUUCAUUUAGCAGCCUGUCUUCAGCGUCCAUAAGCCCAGCGUCUUCAACAUCCAUGAAGCCUGCCUGCUCUCAGCCCAGUUGCUCCUUGUUCGGUCCAGCAGUUCAGCCCAAGAUGGUUUAAUUCAAUUGAAGCCCGUCAAUUCAGCAGCCUAACUUCAGCCCAAGAAUUCAGCCCAGUUCAGUGAAAUCUGAAGCCCAGCGAAUUUCUAAGGCCCAAGCCCAGUGUUUGCAGCAAGCCCAGCCCGACUCAGCAACAAAUCUCAGUUGGACUGAGAUUUGUUGGGCCAAGUUUAGGCCCGGUCCAAGCCCAUGGGUGUCGUUGCGAGCCCAAGUUCGGCCGCCGUCGCGUUGCCGUUGCAGUGAUCUGGUCUCCGCUUUUGAUCAAGUCGAUUGACUAAUGCUUUGAUCGGUAGCAUUUGAUUGGGUGCCAGUUUGAACUGUACUGAUUUGCGAGUGAAAUCUAAGGCUAAGGGAACCUCCGUGUGCCGCUUCGCGGCGGAGAGUAAACCCUGGGGUGAACUGGGCCACCACCACAGACCCAGGCACAGGUGAAUCGCGCGUUUUGCAUUGAAGCAACGCAGACGCAAAGUCUUAAACCCUUCCCCCUGCGGAUGGGUUACCAAGCCUUAACCAUCGCGACCACUGCGGGCGGUGAUAACUUGCUGAGACGUUGUCUCAUUAGUUAUUGAAUAACCAUUUUCAGGUCCUUAGAUGACAUUGGUGAAGGACUGGAGACCUAAAGUGUGGAAGGGGAAACCUGAAAAAUUGACAACCCUAUUGGACUAGCUAGUCAUAGGGCAAUUCUCUUUUGUUAGAAGUCAAUUCCAUUUUGCAAAUUCUGUUUUAGAAAUUUGUGGUUUAAUCCUGGCUUAACAAUUCAACUUGUAUAUAUUUGCACUAUGUUUGGCAGUGUCUAUAAGUGUGGAUGUUUUUAAGUGAGAAUUUGGAAUCCUACUUUUCUGUUA